This is a long non-coding RNA of Ornithorhynchus anatinus (platypus), 1101 nucleotides long. RefSeq lists it as uncharacterized. The transcript is spliced from 4 exons. Lineage: Eukaryota; Metazoa; Chordata; Mammalia; Monotremata; Ornithorhynchidae. The record is from RefSeq and is a predicted model, not a curated record.
UGUGCAGACUGGGAUAGUACAAAGGAACGAUAAACAGACACAUUCCCUGACCACAACGAGCUUACGGUCUGAAGCGGCCCACGUAGAGUCCUAACAUCCCACUCCCCAUCGCCCCCGCACAGGAAGUCCUAAGAAGGGCCGGCCCACCGCCGACAGAAAUUCUUCUUCCGCUACCACCCGGCUGGACCCGAGGAUACGUCUCUCUAGACUGUAAGCUCGUGGUGCACACUGUGGGCAGGGAACGUGUCCCGUUAUUGCUCUGUUGUCUUCCCUCAAGCGCUUAGCACAGCGCUCGGCACCCAGUAAGCGCUCAAUAAAUACGAACGAGUCUCCCAGCACGGAGGAGCGGCUCCAGGCAUUCGAUGCAGGAGGAAGAUGAGAAGAAAAGCCCACGCCUCGAUGAACUCCGCAGAGGUUUUCCCUGACGAGGAGGUGAGGGGUUCACGCCAUUUGUCAGGGAGAGAAGAAAUGAAGAAAACACGGAGAAUUUCAUUACACCCUGCUUUCCGGUCCUCCCGAAUUGAAGUUAAAGGCCCAGUCCCCGUUCCUCCCAGCUAAAGCGGCUGUUAGGAUUUUGAGGCCCCGAGUCGGACCUGGACCUUCCCGGUGAUGCUUUAGGAGCCGGACGGAGGUCCCUGCCCCGCGUCGAGCGUGAGCGAUGGACGUCCCAAGAGCCCAGACUGGCCACAGGACGUGAGAUAGUUCAGAACAGUCCUCCGCACCCAAUAAGCCAUCGAUAAAUACCCUUUCCUGUCGGACUCUUCUCCGUGAGCCUCCACUCGCCUCAAAACGUGGCCCGCGGUCCCACAGCUGAAAGAAUCCCGACAGCCGUGAGCCAGCCCCACAACCCAUUCCUGCAGGAGCAAUGGAGAAGUCACCCCAAGGGCUAAGGCGGCGGAGUCCCCGAAGCGCCAGGAGAGAAAUUCGGUUGGAGGAGAGAACGUACGGGAAUUUGAGCCGUAAUUGGAGGUGCCGGGAAAGGAAUCCUGGAAUUUUUGAAAGGCCCUUGGAACCGUAAGCCGGCUCUGAAGUGCGCUGGGAGAAAAUUUGAUUUACAACUGGAAAUCAACAUGAUUCAGAGAAAAUAGAUUACUGGUCAAA